UACGAAGGGGGCUAGCGUUGCUCGGAAUCACUGGGCGUAAAGCGCACGUAGGCGGCUUCUUAAGUCAGGGGUGAAAUCCUGGAGCUCAACUCCAGAACUGCCUUUGAUACUGAGGAGCUUGAGUCCGGGAGAGGUGAGUGGAACUCCGAGUGUAGAGGUGAAAUUCGUAGAUAUUCGCAAGAACACCAGUGGCGAAGGCGGCUCACUGGCCCGAUACUGACGCUGAGGCACGAAAGCGUGGGGAGCAAACAGG
RNAcentral lists this ribosomal RNA (253 nucleotides) under uncultured bacterium. Its description in RNAcentral is "partial 16S ribosomal RNA". It matches the Rfam family "Bacterial small subunit ribosomal RNA", at positions 524 to 776 of the family's 1533-position model. The record is from RNAcentral.